GAUGAACGCUGGCGGCGUGCCUAAUACAUGCAAGUCGAGCGAACAGACGCGGCUCUUGCUCCUCUGUCGUUAGCCGCGGACGGGUGAGUAACACGUGGAUAACCCACCUAUAAGACUGGGAUAACUUCGGGAAACCGGAGCUAAUCCCGGAUAAUCUCUUGAACCACAUGGUUCAAUAGUGAAUUACGGUUUUGCGGUCACUUCUCGAUGGAUCCGCGCCGUAGUAGCUAGUUGUUACGGUCACGGCUUACCACGGCAACGAUGCGUAGCCGAAGUGAGAGGGUGAUAGGCGACACUGGAACGGAGACACGGUCAAGAGUCCUAAGGGAGGCAGCAGUAGGGAAUGGUACGCAGUAGGCGAAAGCAUGACGGAGCAACGGCGAGCGAGUGACGAAGGUGUUCGGAUCGUAAAACUCUGUUAUGAGGGAAGAACAAAUGUGUAAGGAAAUGUAGACGUAUUGACGGUACCUAAUCAAAAAGCAACGGCUAACUACGUG
This 497-nucleotide ribosomal RNA is filed under the name uncultured bacterium. RNAcentral's name for it is "partial 16S ribosomal RNA". It matches the Rfam family "Bacterial small subunit ribosomal RNA", at positions 28 to 507 of the family's 1533-position model. The record is from RNAcentral.